GACGAACCGUCCUAACGUUGUUCGGAAUCACUGGGCUUAAAGGGCGCGUAGGCGGGUUCCCAAGUCGGUGGUGAAAUCUUUCGGCCCAACCGGAAAACAGCCGCCGAUACUGGGAGUCUUGAGGGAGGUAGGGGUCGAUGGAACUUCCGGUGGAGCGGUGAAAUGCGUAGAUAUCGGAAGGAACGCCGGUGGCGAAAGCGAUCGACUGGACCUUUUCUGACGCUGAGGCGCGAAAGCCGGGGGAGCAAACAGG
This 253-nucleotide ribosomal RNA is filed under the name uncultured bacterium. RNAcentral describes it as "partial 16S ribosomal RNA". It matches the Rfam family "Bacterial small subunit ribosomal RNA", at positions 524 to 776 of the family's 1533-position model. The record is from RNAcentral.